GCAAUAAUAAUACUUUUUAUGAUUGUUUUAUUUUUAUUCUGAAUGAAAACGUAAUAUGACGUAUUUCCGGUGAAACAAGCCUCAGAACAUCCGGUCAGGCCGUGUUUCAUAUCCAGGGAUAUAUAGUAUCUAUGAUCAGAUCGAUGCUUUUCAAGAUGGCAGCCCCGCGUGGACUAUCUGACAUGUUUUGUUAAAGAAAAUCAUCUUAAUCUGACUCUUUAAGAGGAAUCUUGUUGGCUGUAUACACUAGGGCUAAAUCACUGGAUGUUAUGCUAUUUUGAACCAUUUAUUACUUAAACAUGAGUAGGAUACACGAUAUUUUGAGUAAAAAAUACAUGACUGGAAAAUAAAACGACUGACACCUUCCAAUUAAAGUUUACCACAUCUUGCCUACAAAAUCUCUAUGAUACAAAAGUAGAGACCUGGUGAAGACGAUGAGAAAUCAGGCGUAAAAAUGGUUCACUACAUGUGAUUGUAACUAUGUUUUUAAUUAGAGUGGAUGUAUUAGUGAUCAUGAUGAUGAAGAUAUUGUACUGAGAGACUUAUGAAUGAUAGUCACAAGUGUGGUAAAAUAGUUUAUUGAUUAUGUGUGUAAUUGUUACUUUUCCUUAGAAUUUUUGAUGCGGAAGAUUAUUCUGGAAAUAUUAGUAUAGUAGGUGCUCCUUUAAUUCUUAAUUUAUUAAUUUAGCAAGGCCAUUAGUAUACAUUCUAUAGUUACCUUAUCUCACUAAGUUUCAAGACAAGAUAAUCUUAGGUUUGUUUAAUUUCAUGUGAAAAGCUAAAUUCAUUAUUCAGGUUGUGAUGAACUGAAACUUUCUUGUUUAAAGCUCUUGUUAAGUUCACUUCAAAUAGCAUUGAAUUUUUUUGUGAACCUGCCUUCAUCAUGCUGGUUAAGGAAGUUAUGUUAUGGAACUAAGCUUUGUAGGACUAUGUGUGACAAGAUACCUUCGAAAGAUCUGCUUCACUACAUGGAACCCGAGAGUUCACUAAUGUUGGAGAUUUUGGGAAAUUAAUUUCUCAGUAAUGUGUCUUAAGUUACAAAACAUGAAGUGUCUUACUUGUGGAACAUUGGUAGACUAUGAUAAAGAAAACAAUUAUAAUCUUUUUUUCUUUUAAUA
Molecule: long non-coding RNA, 1118 nt
Filed under: Amphimedon queenslandica
Lineage: Eukaryota; Metazoa; Porifera; Demospongiae; Haplosclerida; Niphatidae
Description: uncharacterized LOC109586884, transcript variant X9
Source: RNAcentral